GACGAACGCUGGCGGCGUGCCUAACACAUGCAAGUCGAGCGAGAGACUUCGGUCUCUAGCGGCGGACGGGUGAGUAACACGUGGGUAACCUGCCUCAUAGAGGGGGAUAGCCUUCCGAAAGGAAGAUUAAUACCGCAUAUACUCUCGAUACCACAUGACAUUUAGAGGAAAGGAGCAAUCCGCUAUGAGAUGGACCCGCGGCGCAUUAGCUAGUUGGUGAGGUAACGGCUCACCAAGGCGACGAUGCGUAGCCGACCUGAGAGGGUGAUCGGCCACAUUGGAACUGAGACACGGUCCAGACUCCUACGGGAGGCAGCAGUGGGGAAUAUUGCACAAUGGGCGAAAGCCUGAUGCAGCAACGCCGCGUGAGUGAUGACGGCCUUCGGGUUGUAAAGCUCUGUCUUUUGGGACGAUAAUGACGGUACCAAAGGAGGAAGCCACGGCUAACUACGUGCCAGCCGCCGCCGUAA
Molecule: ribosomal RNA, 470 nt
Filed under: uncultured bacterium
Lineage: Bacteria
Description: partial 16S ribosomal RNA
Rfam family: Bacterial small subunit ribosomal RNA
Source: RNAcentral